UACGAGGGGGGCUAGCGUUGCUCGGAAUCACUGGGCGUAAAGGGUGCGUAGGCGGGUCUUUAAGUCAGGGGUGAAAUCCUGGAGCUCAACUCCAGAACUGCCUUUGAUACUGAGGAUCUUGAGUACGGGAGAGGUGAGUGGAACUGCGAGUGUAGAGGUGAAAUUCGUAGAUAUUCGCAAGAACACCAGUGGCGAAGGCGGCUCACUGGCCCGUAACUGACGCUGAGGCACGAAAGCGUGGGGAGCAAACAGG
RNAcentral lists this ribosomal RNA (253 nucleotides) under uncultured bacterium. Its description in RNAcentral is "partial 16S ribosomal RNA". It matches the Rfam family "Bacterial small subunit ribosomal RNA", at positions 524 to 776 of the family's 1533-position model. The record is from RNAcentral.